RNAcentral lists this ribosomal RNA (688 nucleotides) under Russula quercilicis. RNAcentral describes it as "eukaryotic LSU rRNA". The stretch from base 238 to 391 matches the Rfam family "5.8S ribosomal RNA". Lineage: Eukaryota; Fungi; Basidiomycota; Agaricomycetes; Russulales; Russulaceae. The record is from RNAcentral.
UAAAAGUCGUAACAAGGUUUCCGUAGGUGAACCUGCGGAAGGAUCAUUAUCGUACAACCGAGGUGCGAGGGCUGUCGCUGACCUUUAAAAAGGUCGUGCACGCUCAAGCACUCUCACACAUCCAUCUCACCUUUGUGCAUCACCGCGUGGGUCCCCUUUGCAAAGGAGGGCUUGCGUUUUCACAUAAAACUUGAUACAGUGUAGAAUGUUUUAUUUGCGGUCACACGCAAUCAAUACAACUUUCAACAACGGAUCUCUUGGCUCUCGCAUCGAUGAAGAACGCAGCGAAAUGCGAUACGUAAUGUGAAUUGCAGAAUUCAGUGAAUCAUCGAAUCUUUGAACGCACCUUGCGCCCCUUGGCAUUCCGAGGGGCACACCCGUUUGAGUGUCGUGAAAUCAUCAAAAACCUUUCUCUUUGAUCAUCUUUGGUCGGGAGAGGGAUGUUUUUGGACUUGGAGGAUCCAUGCUUGCUUUCACUGUUGAAAGCGAGCUCCUCUCAAAUGAAUCAGUGGGGUCUGCUUUGCUGGUCCUUGACGUGAUAAGAUGUUUCUACGUUUUGGAUUUAGCACUGUCCCUUAGAUGCCUGCUCCUAACUGUCUCACGGACAAUGAUGGUGCUCUGGUCACCGCCGUCUACAUUGGUGGAGGAGGCUGGACCCACAAAAGAAAAAACCUUGACCUCAAAUCGG